CUUUGAACGCACAUUGCGCCUCGGGCCUUCCCCGUGGCUCGUCUGUGUGAGGGUCGC
RNAcentral lists this ribosomal RNA (57 nucleotides) under Ixodes ovatus. RNAcentral describes it as "partial 5.8S ribosomal RNA". Lineage: Eukaryota; Metazoa; Arthropoda; Arachnida; Ixodida; Ixodidae. The record is from RNAcentral.